AACAAAUCCCUUAUUUUUUCUCAAAUCAUCCCCAUUUUUUUCUGUUGGAUUCUUCAUCACUCUGCCUGUCAACUGGCAUGAUAUGAGGAAGAACUCUAACACGUGAAUAUAGCUGGCGACAGUUGUGGGAUUUGAUAUCGAACUUCCCCUGCUCCUUCUGUGUGUGGCGUCCACGGGAGGCAAUCUUUUAACUUUUCGAGUUGAGGAGUUUGUAUUGAAUAACAAGCUCGACAGAAUGGCAUCAACCUUUGUGAAGUCUAGUAAGAUGAAGAGGAUGGAGUCGAAGAAAUCACACGCUUGGUGGUGGGAUAGCCACAUUA
This 320-nucleotide unclassified non-coding RNA is filed under the name Hevea brasiliensis (rubber tree). The record is from RNAcentral. Lineage: Eukaryota; Viridiplantae; Streptophyta; Magnoliopsida; Malpighiales; Euphorbiaceae.